CAAGUUAAACUUAGGGUGAAUAUUAUUUACAAUAAUAUUUUUGAUUUGUGCAAUUCAAUCUAACUUGA
This 68-nucleotide transfer RNA is filed under the name Ninus insignis. RNAcentral's name for it is "tRNA-Val". Lineage: Eukaryota; Metazoa; Arthropoda; Insecta; Hemiptera; Ninidae. The record is from RNAcentral.